UACGUAGGGUGCAAGCGUUAAUCGAAAUUACUGGGCGUAAAGCGUGCGCAGGCGGUUAUGUAAGACAGGUGUGAAAUCCCCGGGCUUAACCUGGGAACUGCAUUUGUGACUGCAUCGCUGGAGUGCGGCAGAGGGGGAUGGAAUUCCGGCGUGUAGCAGUGAAAUGCGUAGAUAUGCGGAGGAAGCACCGAUGGCGAAGGCAGCCAUCUGGACCGACACUGACGCUGAAGGCGCGGAAAGCGUGGGGAGCAAACAGG
Molecule: ribosomal RNA, 257 nt
Filed under: uncultured bacterium
Lineage: Bacteria
Description: partial 16S ribosomal RNA
Rfam family: Bacterial small subunit ribosomal RNA
Source: RNAcentral